Molecule: ribosomal RNA, 492 nt
Filed under: uncultured bacterium
Lineage: Bacteria
Description: partial 16S ribosomal RNA
Rfam family: Bacterial small subunit ribosomal RNA
Source: RNAcentral
AGUGAACUCUGGCUGUAGGCCUAACACAUUCCAGUCGAACGGCAGCACAGUAAGAGCUUGCUCUUACGGGUGGCGAGUGUCGGACGCGUGUGUUAUACAUCUUAAUCUACUUUUUCGUUGGGUAUAACGUCGAGAAACUUACGCUAAUACCGCCUACGACCUACCGGUGUACGCAGGGGAUCUUCAGACCUUGCGCUAUUGAAUGUGCCGAUGUCUGAUUAACUCGUGGGCGGGGUAAAGGCCCACCAUGUCGCCCAUCCGUAGCUCAUCUGAAAGGAUGAACAGCCACACUGGAACUGAGACACGGACCAGACUCGUACGGGAGGAAGCAGUGGGGAAUAUUGGACAAUGGGCGCAAGCCUGAUCCAGACAUACCGCGUGGGUGAAGAAGGCCUUAGGGUUGUAAAGAACUUUUGUUGGGAAAGAAAAGCAGCAGGUUAAUACAGCGCUGUUAUGAAGGUACCCAAAGAAAAAGCACCGGCUAACUUCGUG